UCCUGACAGCUUAAUUGUUUUGUUGACAAGUUAAUGAACUGCAAGCUGUCUGUAAGUUUCUAUUUCUGCUAAGUUUCGUUUUCCUUCGUGGGGACUCAAGACGAUGUCUGUAAUUCGGCUCAGUCUCUCAUCUCUCCUCUUGCAGAUCACAUCCCAUGACAGUGGGGCACAACUUGGCCAAACCUGUACAUUGAUGGAAGAUAGACCUGACCAGAUCAGACAUGACCAACCACCCUUCAAACUCAACCACCUCAAACCUACCACUGUAUCUUGGGAUUGUCUUAUCUGUCUGUUCCUCUAUCCAGGGUUCGAUGAUCUCCACAUCAUGUGAUGUAGGGCAGUCUGCAGUGCUGCCCUGCCUAGUCUCCUCACUUCACCGGUCUCCACCCUCUCCUUACAUACAGUGGCUGAGCACGUCGGAAACAGUGUUUGAGGGCAUGGGCACAGAGAAGUUUCAGGGCCACGGGUAUGAGGGACGAGCCAAUGUGCCCCAGCAAAUGCUGGAACAAGGCAACUGCUCUUUGUUUCUGGAAGACGUCCGGCUGACGGACUCUGGCGUGUACGAAAGCUACCUGGUGGUUGGCAAUACGAAAGUGAAAAGGAAGGUUUUGCUGCAGAGUGUUCAGUUCAUUGUCAGGGACCACAAGCUGAAGAAGACGGUGGAGAGGGGGAGGGACCUGGAGCUGGAGCUUUACACUCCUCAGGCCAAGCAAGUGGUGUUUCAGCCCCGGAGGCUCUCCCAGUGGGAUGUCCUUUGGAAGAAGAAAGGGGAAGGGUCCCAGAUGACCCAGCAUCCCCGGGCCAGGGAAGGCAGCUUGACGGUUGUCAUUGAAAACAUCACAUGGAACGAUGAGGGCACCUACCGUGUGUUGGAUGAAAAUGGAUUGGCUCUGAGCACGGUGAUGGUCACAGUAACAGAACCUAGCCCUGACAAGCCAGAACAGACUCAACAGAAAAGGCAAUUCCUUGAGGACCGAUCAGCAGGCAGCAGGUCCUAUCCAGGCCUCCCCCUCUUCUUGCUCUGUGGCUUUAUGCUUUAUUUCAUUUGAUUGGGGUAAUAUUCUGCAUUACUACCAGCUUUGGUUGAACGACCUCUGCGCUCACCUGAGUUCUGGCCAAGAGAAGCUGCUGGAAGCCCUCCACCUCCUUACUGUCAUCAGCCGCCCUCUCCUGAAACCAUCGGGGGAAACGGAUACAGACACAGAGCCAGCCAGGGAGGGAGAGUAAGAGACGGAGAGAGAGGCUGAUGAGAUAACGGUCAAAAGGGGUUGUUUUGGGGAUAAUCAAGUACUAGGACUAGAGGUGACCUGGUCUUACCAGAAACAUGCCGAGCGUUUUUCCCAUGAUGCAGUUGAAGAGGUCCAGUGCAGAGUUGCCAGCCACCAUGAAGAAGUCAGACAGGAAGAGGUACUCACGGCAGCCAUUAUCCAACAAUGCAAAGUGCUGACUUCGGAACAGCGUCUCAUAAGGGUACUGGAGAUGGGAAAGGGGAAGUAUGUUAUAUAUAUAUACCUAUGUUUAAACAGUGCGUUUGUACACACACACACACAAUUUUGUGUAUAUAGUACGCUGUGACUGAAUUCAAAUCUGACACUGUAACUGUGUAAUUUUGACAGUUAGCUGUGGAAUGCAUAUAUAAUUAUGUGUUAUUUAAUCUGGUUUAAAAGCAGAUAAUACAUAUCUAAUUUCCAUAAUAACAGUAGCAAUCAUUGCUGUUAGUGUGCUCUGUGGCAUGACCAAGUCUAGCUCUGCCUCUUUGUGUGUGUGUGUGUGUGUGUGUGUGAGUGUGUGAGAGAGAGAGAGAGAGAGAGAGAGAGAGGGAGAGGGAGAGAGAGUGAAGGUCUAGGUUUCCAGGUGUCAGUGGUGUGUGGAACUGUGAGGUAGUGGUGUGCUUACCCUGACGUCUCCUCUCUGAGCGGUGUGGGGGAUGAGGAUGGGUCCCUCCAGCUCUGCUGGACUCAGCACUGCCCCCCGCUGACCCAGAGUGAAGAUGGUGUUCCUGCUCUUCAGGGAUGGCUUGGAGAAGAAACCUGCUCAGCUGUUAAGGAUAAAUCACUGGGUACUGAGAUAUAAAUGCAUUAUCCUGAUAAAGUAAUAAAUAAUAAUUUAUAAUAAUAGAUAAAAUAAUAAUUUAACCCUUUUUUAUCCAGUCAUUUGGUCCACGAUAAUAUUGCACACAAUAAAACUAUAAUGUGUACAACAUAGUGAAACUUCUUUACAAAGUCAAAUAAACAACCCUGGAAUGUU
Molecule: RNA transcript, 2247 nt
Organism: Alosa sapidissima (American shad)
Lineage: Eukaryota; Metazoa; Chordata; Actinopteri; Clupeiformes; Clupeidae
Gene: igldcp
Gene name: galectin 17
Exons: 8
Source: RefSeq, a predicted model, not a curated record